Molecule: ribosomal RNA, 918 nt
Filed under: Bacillus subtilis
Lineage: Bacteria; Bacillati; Bacillota; Bacilli; Caryophanales; Bacillaceae
Description: bacterial SSU rRNA
Rfam family: Bacterial small subunit ribosomal RNA
Source: RNAcentral
AUGGGAGCUUGCUCCCUGAUGUUAGCGGCGGACGGGUGAGUAACACGUGGGUAACCUGCCUGUAAGACUGGGAUAACUCCGGGAAACCGGGGCUAAUACCGGAUGGUUGUUUGAACCGCAUGGUUCAAACAUAAAAGGUGGCUUCGGCUACCACUUACAGAUGGACCCGCGGCGCAUUAGCUAGUUGGUGAGGUAACGGCUCACCAAGGCAACGAUGCGUAGCCGACCUGAGAGGGUGAUCGGCCACACUGGGACUGAGACACGGCCCAGACUCCUACGGGAGGCAGCAGUAGGGAAUCUUCCGCAAUGGACGAAAGUCUGACGGAGCAACGCCGCGUGAGUGAUGAAGGUUUUCGGAUCGUAAAGCUCUGUUGUUAGGGAAGAACAAGUACCGUUCGAAUAGGGCGGUACCUUGACGGUACCUAACCAGAAAGCCACGGCUAACUACGUGCCAGCAGCCGCGGUAAUACGUAGGUGGCAAGCGUUGUCCGGAAUUAUUGGGCGUAAAGGGCUCGCAGGCGGUUUCUUAAGUCUGAUGUGAAAGCCCCCGGCUCAACCGGGGAGGGUCAUUGGAAACUGGGGAACUUGAGUGCAGAAGAGGAGAGUGGAAUUCCACGUGUAGCGGUGAAAUGCGUAAAGAUGUGGAGGAACACCGGUGGCGAAGGCGACUCUCUGGUCUGUAACUGACGCUCAAGAGCGAAAGCGUGGGGAGCGAACAGGAUUAGAUACCCUGGUAGUCCACGCCCUAAACGAUUAGUGCUAACUGUUAGGGGGUUUCCCCCCCCUUAUUGCUGCAGCUAAUGCCCUAAUCACUCCGCCCGGGGAGUNGGGGGGCAGGAGUGAUACUCAAAAAAAUUGACAAAGGCCCCCACAACCCUUGGACCACUAGUUUUAUUCAAACCAACCCGCAAAAACAUA